GACAUUCAGAGAAGCGGAAAUUUACACAUAUUGCAUGAAUGCCACAGGUCCUCCUUGCAUAAAGUUGUCCUGUUUCUCGACGAUCGCAGUGAUCAAUGCCAAAAUACUUUCUAAAAUAAAGUUG
Long non-coding RNA from Etheostoma spectabile (orangethroat darter), 124 nucleotides. RefSeq lists it as uncharacterized. NCBI's taxonomy places the organism in Eukaryota, Metazoa, Chordata, Actinopteri, Perciformes, Percidae. The transcript is spliced from 3 exons. The record is from RefSeq and is a predicted model, not a curated record.